UGGUUUCAUCUGGUAGGGCAGCGGUCGGCAACCUUUUGGCAGGCAAGGGCCACAAGGUGGCAAAAUAAACUAAAGACGGGCCGCAGGCCUCACACGUAUUAACCCUAGAGAUACCUACGC
Long non-coding RNA from Aricia agestis (brown argus), 120 nucleotides. RefSeq lists it as uncharacterized. NCBI's taxonomy places the organism in Eukaryota, Metazoa, Arthropoda, Insecta, Lepidoptera, Lycaenidae. The transcript has 3 exons. The record is from RefSeq and is a predicted model, not a curated record.